RNA transcript from Topomyia yanbarensis, 3947 nucleotides. It is a transcript of the gene named IDLSRF-like peptide, with no coding region annotated. The transcript has 3 exons. Lineage: Eukaryota; Metazoa; Arthropoda; Insecta; Diptera; Culicidae. The record is from RefSeq and is a predicted model, not a curated record.
GUCUAUUGGCAUCAUUGUUGACUCUCUCUAACAUAUGUGUUUUGGAGAAAUCAAAAUGAUGCCCCUGUUCCGUCGUGUGUUGAGUUAGACCCGUGCACGACGUUCAUGUGCGUAUAGAAUUUUUAUGUUGUGUUAUGCGCGUCUCUAGCGUCUGUGAUGUCUGCCCAAUGUACUCCUUAUUGUUACAGAUGCCACAAGGGAUACUGUACACUAUGUUGGUUUGUUGCAUCUUAGGUAUCUUGUCCUUCAGCAUGGUAAAGACGGUACUUUUAAUUUUAUUCGUUGGUUUGUACGCAGCUGUGACGUCAUUCUUGCGCAGAAGCUUCCCUAUCUUCUCGCUCAGGCAGGGAAUGUACGGAAUAGAUGCGUAUUUUGUUGUUCGUUCUUCUGUUCCCCUGGUUUUCAUCGUGUUGUAUAGCAGAUCUACUCGUUGUUUUAAAAUACAUCUAAUGUAAUGUUCUGGAUACUUGUUGCUGCGUAGUAUGUCUAAUGCUGUUUUAAUGGUCUCUUCUCGUUUCUCCGUAUCCGUCAGUUUAAGUGCUCUGUCAAAGAGUGCAAUUGCAGUAUUUUUCUUAUGAGUGUGUGGACUCUUCGAAGCGUAGUCUAAGUAUCGUCCAGAUUUUGUUUCGGAUGCCAUGCUUUCUGCAUUUUUUCUCCUUCUCUAGUCAGCAUAAGGUCCAAAAAACGAAUGCGACCACGUUCUUCCAUCUCACAAGUGAAAUUGAUGUUGCUAUGUUGCUCGUUGAACGUUCGAACGACAGUUUCGAUUUCGUUAGCUCGUCCUACAACAAAACAAUCAUCCACAUAGCGCCGGUAUACUACUAGUGAUAUGUUUUUCUGUUUCAGCUUUUCGAUAGCAUCUUUUUCCAACUUUUCCAUCACUAUGUUCGCGACAACAGGAGAUAAAGGUGAUCCCAUUGGCACACCAAAUGUCUGGUCAUAAAACACAUGUGUUAGAGAGAGUCAACAACGAGGCCAAUAGACUAACAGCAGAAGUUCUUCACAUAAAAUUGAGAGAGGAGAGCGCAGUGAACCUACAGCGUGAUGCUGCCAGUUUCUCCUAUGCAUACAACGGGCUUCUCAACAAACUGCGGGCUACGCAGCACGGUAAGCGUGGUCAGCAAAGGGAGACGCCACGAACGUGAGAGAGAAAUUUAAAUUUAGUUUUAUUUGGACAGUCCCGCGAGCGAGAAGCGAACGGGCUUAAAUUUCUGAGGAUGGCCGAAGAAUGAGUAGGCUGAAACGUAAACAACGGAAAUAGUUUUAUUAUAUUUUUCACCGAACAACAUCAACCGAAACCAGUAAGCAGAGUCGAACGGUGACCAAAGCUGAAAACAUAAAAUCAAUUGAUCAAGGAAAAAAGAAGAAGGAAAUCUACGCGAUGUUUAUCGUGUCAAAAAUAACGAGAAAGUACGACGAGACGACUGGAGGACUAACCAGAUGCAUGCUAAAAAUAGCAGUAAAAAUGGCUAAAAUGAAAAACCGGCUCAAGUUUUUAUUAAAUUGUCGACAGUGCAAACUUGUACCCAAGUGCCUAAACUACAAAAUCGCCGUUACACUACAUAGUGCUACCUCUCGCCACGAACUUACGAAGCUUGAGCACCGACAGAAAAUAAGAAUUCUAAGUGUAGUCAUUGGAGAUACAAAACGGCUCUUAGAUCUACUCAAAAACAAAAAGCACUAUCUUGGUGAAAAGAUUCAAAUGGCGAUAGAUGAGGAAGAUUGGAGAGAGGUACAGAAUGCAGUAGAGAAGAAAGCAGCAAAUGUGUACUUUAAAACGAAGCGAACAGAAAUUCAAAAGCUGGGCAACCUGAAGAGGAAAAAAAUAGAGGAAGUAAGCCAACAAUCCGAUUGGAUAGAGAAUACGACAACCUACGAAAUCCCGGACUAUCUAGAGCGAACUCUUUGCUUGGGCCCAAACUUCAACAUACAAAACAAAAAGUCCAUCCCAUACGUACGUCUCGUGUCGGAUGUGGAGACAGCUAUAAAAAACAAACCAGAAGCCGACAACAUACGAGCAGAAGUGUCUACAAUAGUAUCCAAUUAUGUAAACUAUCAGAGCCAACCCCGAACAAAAGAGAACGACUGGAUACAUAGGGACAUUAUGAAAAGUAAAAAUUUCUUACAAGAGAACCCGAACCUCUACGUAACAAAAGCCGACAAAGGUAACAAAACUGUACUUAUAUCAGCCGCCGAAUACCACCAAAAAAUGACUGCGAUGGUCAACGAUACAUCGACUUACAAGGAGCGCAAAGAUAAUCCCUCGAAAAGGGUGCUGAAGAAGCUGAAUACCAUCGUGGAACAGUGGUGGUUAGAUAAACAAAUAGAUACAGCAACCAAACACAAACUUAAAGUAUACCACUGCAACCCACCGCGGGUCUACGGUUUACCAAAGAUACACAAGGAAGGCCGCCCUCUUCGACCCGUCGUUUCCACCAUCGGCUCAGCCACUUACCGCAUGGCUCAAUACUUAGCAGGAAUACUGAACAAUUUGGUAGGAAAAACCGAAUACCAUGUUCGCAAUAGUUUCGACUUUGCAGAAGAGGUAUCCAAGGUGCGGGUACCGGACGGAUGCGUCCUUUUUUCGCUAGAUGUGAUUUCUCUUUACACAAACGUGCCUGUAGAAAAGGUAUAUGAGUGCGUAGAAGAGAGAUGGCAUGAGCUGGACCACAAAACGACUAUACCGUGGGACAAUGUCAAACAAGCGAUGAAAGUUGUCCUGAAAGCUUUCUUCUUCCAAUAUGAUGGGAAGUUUUAUGACCAGACAUUUGGUGUGCCACCUUUAUCUUCUGUUGUCGCGAACAUAGUGAUGGAAAAGUUGGAAAAAGAUGCUAUCGAAAAGCUGAAACAGAAAAACAUAUCACUAGUAGUAUACCGGCGCUAUGUGGAUGAUUGUUUUAUUGUAGGACGAGCUAACGAAAUCGAAACUGUCGUUCGAACGUUCAACGAGCAACAUAGCAACAUCAAUUUCACUUGUGAAAUGGAAGAACGUGGUCGCAUUCGUGUUUUGGACCUUAUGCUGACUAGACAAGGAGAAAAAAUACAGAAAGCAUGGCAUCCGAAACAAAAAACUGGACAAUACUUAGACUACACUUCGGAGAGUCCACACACUCAUAAGAAAAAUACUGCAAUUGCACUCUUUGACAGAGCGCUUAAACUGACGGAUACGGAGAAACGAGAAGAGACCAUUAAAACAGCAUUAGACAUACUACGCAGCAACAACUAUCCAGAACAUUACAUUAGACGUAUUUUAAAACAACGAGUAGAUCUGCUAUACAACACGAUGAAAACCAGGGGAACAGAAGAACGAACAACAAAAUACGCAUCUAUUCCGUACAUUCCCUGCCUGAGCGAGAAGAUAGGGAAGCUUCUGCGCAAGAAUGACGUCACAGCUGCGUACAAACCAACGAAUAAAAUUAAAAGUACCGUCUUUACCAUGCUGAAGGACAAGAUACCUAAGAUGCAACAAACCAACAUAGUGUAUAGUAUCCCUUGUGGCGUCUGUGACAAUAAGGAGUACAUUGGGCAGACAUCACAGACGCUAGAGAAGCGCAUAACACAACAUAAAAAUUCUAUACGCACAUGAACGUCGUGUACGGGUCUAACUCAACACACGACGAAACAGGGGCAUCAUUUUGAUUUCUCCAAAACACAUGUGUUAGAGAGAGUCAACAACGAGGCCAAUAGACUAACAGCAGAAGUUCUUCACAUAAAAUUGAGAGAGGAGAGCGCAGUGAACCUACAGCGUGAUGCCGCCAGUUUCUCCUAUGCAUACAACGGGCUUCUCAACAAACUGCGGUCUACGCAGCACGAUCAGAUUUAGAACAUUUGAGAUCAGUUUUCAUGGCAGUUGAAAAUGGCGAUUUGGGUAUGCUGAAAUCUAUCGGUAUCAAGGAUUCCGAGUUAGGAGACGUAAAGUUUUUUCUUGAAAAACUGGUCAACACAGG